UAGGAAUCUUCCACAAUGGACGCAAGUCUGAUGGAGCAACGCCGCGUGAGUGAAGAAGGUUUUCGGACCGUAAAGCUCUGUUGUUGGUGAAGAAGGAUAGAGGUAGUAACUGGCCUUUAUUUGACGGUAAUCAACCAGAAAGUCACGGCUAACUACGUGCCAGCAGCCGCGGUAAUACGUAGGUGGCAAGCGUUGUCCGGAUUUAUUGGGCGUAAAGCGAGCGCAGGCGGAAGAAUAAGUCUGAUGUGAAAGCCCUCGGCUUAACCGAGGAAUUGCAUCGGAAACUGUUUUCUUGAGUGCAGAAGAGGAGAGUAGAACUCCAUGUGUAGCGGUGGAAUGCGUAGAUAUAUGGAAGAAUACCAGUGGCGAAGGCGGCUCUCUGGUCUGCAAACUGACGCUGAGGCUCGAAAAGCAUGGGUAGCGAACAGGAUUAGAUACCCUGGUAGUCCAUGCCGUAAACGAUGAGUGCUAAGUGUUGGGAGGCUUCCGCCUCUCAGUGCUGCAGCUAACGCAUUAAGCACUCCGCCUGGGGAGUACGACCGCAAGGUUGAAAC
Molecule: ribosomal RNA, 554 nt
Filed under: uncultured bacterium
Lineage: Bacteria
Description: partial 16S ribosomal RNA
Rfam family: Bacterial small subunit ribosomal RNA
Source: RNAcentral